This 416-nucleotide long non-coding RNA is filed under the name Nicotiana benthamiana. RNAcentral describes it as "long non-coding RNA (NBEN_LNC030152)". The record is from RNAcentral. Lineage: Eukaryota; Viridiplantae; Streptophyta; Magnoliopsida; Solanales; Solanaceae.
AAAAAGACAACCAUUACAAGCUCAUUUAUUUUAUUUUAAUUAUGCAGAUUUCAUACAUUAAGGCUUUGGUGACAACAACAACGUUGAGAUAUAUCACAUGCUCCAUUUGAAAAACCUUGGCCUUUGCAUUCAAAGUUGCAAUCCUCUGCUGUGAAGUCAGUUGUGCAUGCCUUAAAGCAAAAUGGCCUACCUGAAUCAUUUAUUUGACCUGUCACCCAAAAAAAUUAGUUUAAAUUUUUACAAAAAAAGAAAAAAAUAUUAACAAACAAAAAAAAAAGGUUAUUAAAGGAUCUUAUGUAGUUACCUAGAGAUUUCGAUGCAGUUGAAAAUGAGACAAAUAGGAGGAGGAAAACAACUAAGAACUUGGGAAACUCCAUUUGAGGCUUACUCUGUUGAUAUAAAUGUUUAGAGUUUAG